RNAcentral lists this ribosomal RNA (490 nucleotides) under uncultured bacterium. RNAcentral describes it as "partial 16S ribosomal RNA". It matches the Rfam family "Bacterial small subunit ribosomal RNA", at positions 30 to 507 of the family's 1533-position model. The record is from RNAcentral.
AUUGAACGCUGGCGGCAGGCCUGACACAUGCAAGUCGAAUGGUAACAGGAAACAGCUUGCUGUUUCGCUGACGAGUGGCGGACGGGUGAGUAAUGUCUGGGAAACUGCCUGAUGGAGGGGGAUAACUACUGGAAACGGUAGCUAAUACCGCAUAACGUCGCAAGACCAAAGAGGGGGACCUUCGGGCCUCUUGCCAUCAGAUGUGCCCAGAUGGGAUUAGCUAGUAGGUGGGGUAACGGCUCACCUAGGCGACGAUCCCUAGCUGGUCUGAGAGGAUGACCAGCCACACUGGAACUGAGACACGGUCCAGACUCCUACGGGAGGCAGCAGUGGGGAAUAUUGCACAAUGGGCGCAAGCCUGAUGCAGCCAUGCCGCGUGUAUGAAGAAGGCCUUCGGGUUGUAAAGUACUUUCAGCGGGGAGGAAGGGAGUAAAGUUAAUACCUUUGCUCAUUGACGUUACCCGCAGAAGAAGCACCGGCUAACUCCGUG